This 207-nucleotide ribosomal RNA is filed under the name uncultured bacterium. Its description in RNAcentral is "partial 16S ribosomal RNA". It matches the Rfam family "Bacterial small subunit ribosomal RNA", at positions 568 to 774 of the family's 1533-position model. The record is from RNAcentral.
UACGUAGGCGGUUUAUUAAGUCAGAUGUGAAAGCCCCGGGCUUAACCUGGGAACUGCAUUUGAUACUGGUAAGCUAGAGUAUGGUAGAGGGGGUAGAAUUCCUAGUGUAGCGGUGAAAUGCGUAGAUAUUAGGAGGAAUACCAGUGGCGAAGGCGGCCCCCCUGGACCAAUACUGACGCUGAGGUACGAAAGCGUGGGUAGCGAACA